CCCGGUAAACGGCGGCCGUAACUAUAACGGUCCUAAGGUAGCGAAAUUCCUUGUCGGGUAAGUUCCGACCUGCACGAAAGGCGCAACGACUUGGGCGCUGUCUCGACCAUGGACCCGGUGAAAUUGCACUGGUCGUGAAGAUGCGACUUACCCGCGGAAGGACGGAAAGACCCCGUGAACCUUCACUGCAGCUUGGCAUUGGCCGCUGGUCCCGCGUGUAGAGGAUAGGCAGGAGGCAUCGAUCCGGAGGCGCCAGCCCCCGGGGAGCCGCCCUUGGAAUACUGCCCUCGCGCGACCGGCGUCCUAACCCGAGGCCGUCAACCGGCUCGGGGACCGUGCCAGGCGGGCAGUUUGACUGGGGCGGUCGCCUCCUAAAGGGUAACGGAGGCGCGCGAAGGUCCGCUCGGGACGGUCGGCAACCGUCCUUUUGAAUGCAAGAGUACAAGCGGGCUUGACUGCGAGGCCCACAAGCCGAGCAGGUGCGAAAGCAGGCUCUAGUGAUCCGGCGGCCCCGAGUGGGUGGGCCGUCGCUCAACGGAUAAAAGGUACUCCGGGGAUAACAGGCUGAUCUUGCCCAAGAGUCCACAUCGACGGCAAGGUUUGGCACCUCGAUGUCGGCUCAUCGCAUCCUGGGGCUGGAGCAGGUCCCAAGGGUACGGCUGUUCGCCGUUUAAAGCGGUACGCGAGCUGGGUUCAGAACGUCGUGAGACAGUUCGGUCCCUAUCCUCCGUGGGCGCAGGAGAAUCGAUGGAGGCUGCCCCCAGUACGAGAGGACCGGGGUGGACGCACCUCCGGUGAACCGGUUGUCGACCAACGGCACGGCCGGGUAGCCGCGUGCGGCGCGGAUAACCGCUGAAGGCAUCUAAGCGGGAAGCCGUUCCAGGGAUUAGUUCUCCUUCCGGUAAGGGCCCAGGUAGACUACCUGGUCGAUAGACGGCAGGUGCAAGGGCGGCGACGUCCUCAGCCGAGCCGCACUAAUCGCCCGAGCUCUUCCGGAA
Molecule: ribosomal RNA, 998 nt
Filed under: human gut metagenome
Description: bacterial LSU rRNA
Rfam family: Bacterial large subunit ribosomal RNA
Source: RNAcentral